Molecule: ribosomal RNA, 516 nt
Filed under: uncultured bacterium
Lineage: Bacteria
Description: partial 16S ribosomal RNA
Rfam family: Bacterial small subunit ribosomal RNA
Source: RNAcentral
AGUGAACGCUGGCGGCGUGCUUAACACAUGCAAGUCGAACGGAGUAUUUAUUUAUAAAUACUUAGUGGCGAACGGGUGAGUAACGCGUAGACAACCUACCCUCUAGAUGGGGACAACACCGCGAAAGUGGUGCUAAUACCGAAUGUUGUAAUGUUGUUGCAUAAUGAUAUUACUAAAGGUGGCCUCUAUAUAUAAGCUACCGCUAGAAGAUGGGUAUGCGUCUGAUUAGCUAGUUGGUGAGAUAACAGCUCACCAAGGCAAUGAUCAGGAGCCGGUCUGAGAGGAUGAACGGCCACACUGGGACUGAGACACGGCCCAGACUCCCACGGGAGGCAGCAGUGGGGAAUCUUCCGCAAUGGACGAAAGUCUGACGGAGCAACGCCGCGUGAGUGAAGAAGGUUUUCGGAUCGUAAAGCUCUGUCUUCAAGGACGAAUGUAGAUAUUGUGAAUAAUGAUAUUUAAUGACGGUACUUGAGGAGGAAGCCACGGCUAAAUACGUGCCAGCCGCCGCGGUAA